This 497-nucleotide ribosomal RNA is filed under the name uncultured bacterium. Its description in RNAcentral is "partial 16S ribosomal RNA". It matches the Rfam family "Bacterial small subunit ribosomal RNA", at positions 28 to 507 of the family's 1533-position model. The record is from RNAcentral.
GAUGAACGCUGGCGGCGUGCGUAAUACAUGCAAGUCGAGCGAACAGAUAAGGAGCUUGCUCCUUUGACGUUAGCGGCGGACGGGUGAGUAACACGUGGGUAACCUACCUAUAAGACUGGGAUAACUUCGGGAAACCGGAGCUAAUACCGGAUAACAUUUGGAACCGCAUGGUUCUAAAGUGAAAGAUGGUUUUGCUAUCACUUAUAGAUGGACCCGCGCCGUAUUAGCUAGUUGGUAAGGUAACGGCUUACCAAGGCAACGAUACGUAGCCGACCUGAGAGGGUGAUCGGCCACACUGGAACUGAGACACGGUCCAGACUCCUACGGGAGGCAGCAGUAGGGAAUCUUCCGCAAUGGGCGAAAGCCUGACGGAGCAACGCCGCGUGAGUGAUGAAGGGUUUCGGCUCGUAAAACUCUGUUAUUAGGGAAGAACAAAUGUGUAAGUAACUGUGCACGUCUUGACGGUACCUAAUCAGAAAGCCACGGCUAACUACGUG